Mizuhopecten yessoensis (Yesso scallop) is the source of this 470-nucleotide long non-coding RNA. RefSeq lists it as uncharacterized. Lineage: Eukaryota; Metazoa; Mollusca; Bivalvia; Pectinida; Pectinidae. The record is from RefSeq and is a predicted model, not a curated record. The transcript has 3 exons.
GCUCUGGUAUAAAACCCACAGCUUACGGGUGCAGCUUACACUGACGACGAUAACAGGAAUUCAGCACCGUCUUCAAGUGACAACGCCAUUGGAGUUGCAGUAUCAACUAUCAAAUAUCAGUAUGAACCUGCACGUAUUUGCUGUCGUAUUGGCUUUGGCCCUGUUAACAAUUCUUUCUGAAGGUGAGAAUUAUAUGGUAGCUGCUGCGGGAAAUUCGACUACUUCUAAAAAUAGUGUGGGAUGCAUACGUAUGAGCGCUGAAGUCCUGGCUAUUCUCUUUGCUGUCGGAUAUAUGUUAGUAAAGAUCCGGAACUAACAGGACUAUCGAUGUUGUGUUCCCGUGUAGGUCAUCAGUGUGGAGGUAAUGACAAGACAACUCUGAAGGAACGCACUGAUGUAUCUGAAACACAGACUAGUAGACUUUUUACUUGGUUUGAUUCUGCAUUCUAGUGACAGAGGUUGAACAUCAA